Molecule: ribosomal RNA, 370 nt
Filed under: uncultured organism
Description: partial 16S ribosomal RNA
Rfam family: Bacterial small subunit ribosomal RNA
Source: RNAcentral
AGAGGGUGCAAGCGUUAAUCGGAAUUACUGGGCGUAAAGCGCGCGUAGGUGGAAGUUUAAGUUAGCUGUGAAAGCCCCGGGCUUAACCUGGGAAAGCCAGCUAAAACUGGACAUCUAGAGUACGGUAGAGGGAAGUGGAAUUUCCGGUGUAGCGGUGAAAUGCGUAGAUAUCGGAAGGAACACCAGUGGCGAAGGCGACUUCCUGGACCGAUACUGACACUGAGGCGCGAAAGCGUGGGUAGCAAACAGGAUUAGAUACCCUGGUAGUCCACGCCGUAAACGAUGAGAACUAGCUGUUGGGUAACAUAGUUACUUAGUGGCGCAGCUAACGCGUUAAGUUCUCCGCCUGGGGAGUACGGCCGCAAGGUUA